UUUGUAUAAUGGGUCAGCGACUUAUAUUCAGUGGCAAGGUUAACCAUCUAGGGGAGCCGUAGGGAAACCGAGUCUUAACUGGGCGUUCAGUCUCUGGAUAUAGACCCGAAACCAGGUGAUCUAGCCAUGGGCAGGUUGAAGGUUGAGUAACAUCAACUGGAGGACCGAACCGACUAAUGUUGAAAAAUUAGCGGAUGACUUGUGGCUAGGGGUGAAAGGCCAAUCAAACCUGGAGAUAGCUGGUUCUCCCCGAAAGCUAUUUAGGUAGCGCCUCGGACGAAUACUACUGGGGGUAGAGCACUGUUAAGGCUAGGGGGUCAUCCCGACUUACCAACCCUUUGCAAACUCCGAAUACCAGUAAGUACUAUCCGGGAGACACACGGCGGGUGCUAACGUCCGUCGUGGAGAGGGAAACAACCCAGACCGCCAGCUAAGGUCCCAAAUUACUACUAAGUGGGAAACGAUGUGGGAAGGCUCAGACAGCCAGGAUGUUGGCUUAGAAGCAGCCAUCAUUUAAAGAAAGCGUAAUAGCUCACUGGUCGAGUCGGCCUGCGCGGAAGAUGUAACGGGGCUAAGUAGUAAACCGAAGCUGCGGCAAUAUACUUUUGUAUAUUGGGUAGGGGAGCGUUCUGUAAGCGGUUGAAGGUGUGUGGUAACGCAUGCUGGACGUAUCAGAAGUGCGAAUGCUGACAUGAGUAACGAUAAAGGGGGUGAAAAACCUCCUCGCCGGAAGACCAAGGGUUCCUGUCCAACGUUAAUCGGGGCAGGGUAAGUCGACCCCUAAGGCGAGGCCGAAAGGCGUAGUCGAUGGGAAACGGGUUAAUAUUCCCGUACUUCUUACAAUUGCGAUGGGGGGACGGAGAAGGCUAGGUGGGCCUGGCGACGGUUGUCCAGGUUCAAGUGCGUAGGCUUAAGAGUUAGGUAAAUCCGGCUCUUUUUAAGGCUGAGACACGACGUCGAGCAUCUACGGAUGUGAAGUCAUUGAUGCCAUGCUUCCAGGAAAAGCCUCUAAGCUUCAGAUUGUAAGGAAUCGUACCCCAAACCGACACAGGUGGUCGGGUAGAGAAUACCAAGGCGCUUGAGAGAACUCGGGUGAAGGAACUAGGCAAAAUGGUACCGUAACUUCGGGAGAAGGUACGCUCUCGACGGUGAAGUCCCUCGCGGAUGGAGCUAUUGAGAGUCGCAGAUACCAGGUGGCUGCAACUGUUUAUUAAAAACACAGCACUGUGCAAAAUCGUAAGAUGACGUAUACGGUGUGACGCCUGCCCGGUGCCGGAAGGUUAAUUGAUGGGGUUAGACUUCGGUCGAAGCUCUUGAUCGAAGCCCCGGUAAACGGCGGCCGUAACUAUAACGGUCCUAAGGUAGCGAAAUUCCUUGUCGGGUAAGUUCCGACCUGCACGAAUGGCGUAAUGAUGGCCACGCUGUCUCCACCCGAGACUCAGUGAAAUUGAAAUCGCUGUGAAGAUGCAGUGUACCCGCGGCUAGACGGAAAGACCCCGUGAACCUUUACUACAGCUUGGCACUGAACAUUGACCCUACAUGUGUAGGAUAGGUGGGAGGCUUUGAAGCACGUACGCCAGUAUGUGUGGAGCCGUCCUUGAAAUACCACCCUUGUAGUGUUGAUGUUCUAACGUCGACCCCUAAUCGGGGUUGCGGACAGUGCCUGGUGGGUAGUUUGACUGGGGCGGUCUCCUCCCAAAGAGUAACGGAGGAGCACGAAGGUGGGCUAAUCACGGUUGGACAUCGUGAGGUUAGUGCAAUGGCAUAAGCCCGCUUGACUGCGAGAAUGACAAUUCGAGCAGGUGCGAAAGCAGGUCAUAGUGAUCCGGUGGUUCUGAAUGGAAGGGCCAUCGCUCAACGGAUAAAAGGUACUCCGGGGAUAACAGGCUGAUACCGCCCAAGAGUUCAUAUCGACGGCGGUGUUUGGCACCUCGAUGUCGGCUCAUCACAUCCUGGGGCUGAAGUCGGUCCCAAGGGUAUGGCUGUUCGCCAUUUAAAGUGGUACGCGAGCUGGGUUUAGAACGUCGUGAGACAGUUCGGUCCCUAUCUGCCGUGGGCGUUGGAAGAUUGAAGGGGGCUGCUCCUAGUACGAGAGGACCGGAGUGGACGAACCUCUGGUGUUCGGGUUGUGUCGCCAGACGCAUUGCCCGGUAGCUAAGUUCGGAAUCGAUAACCGCUGAAAGCAUCUAAGCGGGAAGCGAGCCCUGAGAUGAGUCUUCCCUGAUACUUUAAGUAUCCUAAAGGGUUGUCGGA
RNAcentral lists this ribosomal RNA (2253 nucleotides) under Vibrio parahaemolyticus. RNAcentral describes it as "partial 23S ribosomal RNA". It matches the Rfam family "Bacterial large subunit ribosomal RNA", at positions 607 to 2842 of the family's 2925-position model. Lineage: Bacteria; Pseudomonadati; Pseudomonadota; Gammaproteobacteria; Vibrionales; Vibrionaceae. The record is from RNAcentral.